CGAAAAAUCCAAAUUAAAUUCCAUGGUUUUUUAGAAAUGAUUUCACGAUAGUAGGAGCGAGUACGAAGCUUGGAAAAGUUGUGGAAUUAGUUCGAACGAUUUUAUUUUCGAAAACGAACGUUUUUAGGGGGUCAACAAAGUUGACUUUUUAUACGUUCAAAAUUUGGGAAAACUUCCUUCAUGAAAGUUGUAGAGCUCGUCGAUACGAGUUCGUGGACAUGUGGAACGCAUUAUUUGGAGUUCGUAUGAAUAAGUUAUGAAUAUUUUAAAAUUGAGAAUUUUCUAUAAAUACAAAAAAUCAGAUUUCUCAAUAAGGAAACCCGAAAAUUUCCAGAUUUUUCUCCUCCUCGCUGCCUUGGCUUCACGGCGUCGCCACGACUUCAUCCGGCCACCUAUGGCCAUGAAAUUGAUAUCAAUCUCUUCGCCUUGAAACCAGCUUUCCAUUCAUAUAUGUCUUGCAUCCUAUCAUUCACCAUAGACAACGAAUCGAAGCAAAGAAGGUCAGACCAUUUUUCAUGCAUUUCUUCAAAUUCCAGCCAACUCCGGCAAAGGUAGGAGGGGAGACCAACUGGGCUUUGUUCGCCUUGCCAUGCUCUAUAAACUCACCAAGUUUCACAUCUCGAUUCAACCCGAGGAAGACGAAUUUCAGAUUUGAGCGAUUUUGGGCGAUUUCGGCCUCUUUCUUCUUGAGGUGAUUGGCGGAUUGAUUUGGCGGACGAUUCGUAAAAUCGUUGUUGAGCUGUUUAGAAGACGCAGCGGGAUUAUCGAGCGGGUAAUCCUACAGGACAGGAGAACCAGGACGGUGAUCGUGCGGUUAGAGCAAUUGUUAGAGUUUUACAACAAUUGUAAGUUGUGAGGUGUGUUAUGCUCAUUUGAGCUUUAUAAUAUAUUGUGAGAGUGAAUUGUAAUAAUGAACUCGAAGUUUCGAGAUUUGGUUUUUUUGUAAUUGUAAUUAUUCAGGUUUCGGAUUUGAAUUUAUCAUUCAAAAU
This is a long non-coding RNA of Rosa rugosa (rugosa rose), 989 nucleotides long. RefSeq lists it as uncharacterized. Lineage: Eukaryota; Viridiplantae; Streptophyta; Magnoliopsida; Rosales; Rosaceae. The record is from RefSeq and is a predicted model, not a curated record. The transcript has 3 exons.